RNAcentral lists this long non-coding RNA (531 nucleotides) under Aedes aegypti (yellow fever mosquito). RNAcentral's name for it is "lncRNA AAEL024399". Lineage: Eukaryota; Metazoa; Arthropoda; Insecta; Diptera; Culicidae. The record is from RNAcentral.
AGCAAAAAAGUGAAAAUUUUGUAAAAGAGUGCAAAUAAAUGAAUAAAAGUCUUUUUCCACACCAAAAAAGCUCUUGUUGCUUUCCAUGACAAGCAUGCUGAUCCUUGUGUGCUGUCGGUGUUAUUUGCCCAUCACAAACGCUUCAUCGUUAUUGCAGAAACCGCAGAUUUUUCCCCUGGAUUCGAAGGCCGGAUUUUCUACCAGCAAUCGAUUGGAAGAACUAUUUUCGGGUAAUCAAUGCAAAGCCAGAUCAGAUCCGCACCGUGGAAAAUGGCAAUGAAAGAUACCUUUGGAUUUGCCUUUCCAUUCGGACUAAUCGAAAACUUCACUCAAAGAUUUUGUAAGAAUCUGUACUCCAUUUGAGAAGUGAAAGGAAAGCAAUGGCACGACAUGACCAGACCCUUGGCAAUCCGGAAACAAACGAGUGUAAAACCUCCAUCAGGAAAAAUAGUGUCCGCAAUAACACCAUGAACGCUAGUGUGUAAUUGGAAUCGAUGGCAAUAUGAAUACAAUUAUUAUAUUUUUACCUUA